Long non-coding RNA from Ipomoea nil (Japanese morning glory), 819 nucleotides. RefSeq lists it as uncharacterized. The record is from RefSeq and is a predicted model, not a curated record. Lineage: Eukaryota; Viridiplantae; Streptophyta; Magnoliopsida; Solanales; Convolvulaceae. The transcript has 2 exons.
CAAUAUAAUUUGCAACAAUAAUGACGUCCAACACGCUUGUCACACGUUGUUUCUUAACAACGUUCUCCACUCGGAUUAGACUUCCUAUCAAACCUAACAAUUGUUCUUUGUUCUACUUUAUCCUACUAUACCAACCACUAGGUAUCAAACUAUCAAUUCAUUUUCUCCGUUUAACUAAUUUUCUUCUGCUCCGGCAUCUCCAAAAGCUGCAACCAAGAAGAGUAACCAAAAAGCUUCCAUUUUUUUUCAGGUCGAGGAAGAGUAUGGGUCACCACCACCACCCUCACCACCACCCCCACCACCACCACGAAGGCGGCCGUCCAUACGAUGAUCCAAUCCUCGCAUGUUGUUGCUGCCCAUGUUUCCUAGUCUCCUCAGUGUUCUCCGUGUUCAGGAGAUGUCUGUUUGUUGCCUGUUAUCCUGUGCUGCAAUGCUUUGGGUGGGAUGAACAUAGGCACCACCACCACCACAGGCAUUUCUAUUAGCUUUUAACUUCAACCACCUUAAAACCCGUCAAGUUAAAGUAAUUUAUCCUUCCAUAGUUCUGUUACACGAAAGUGUAAUGAUUCUGGAUGGAGAAAAUUUCGUCUUUGUGGGCAAAUUUAGCGUUUAGGCUUUAGCUUCAUCUUCCAUUUUUUUAGUUUCUAAACUUGUGAUUCAUGUCAACCAAGACAAUCAUUGAAACUUGUAGUCCAUAUUUUCUGGUGUAUCUGAAUGAUGAUUUGAUUGUUGUAAUCUAUGGUGAAUUUUAGUAAUUUUGCUAAUUUUGAGGUCAAAGGGAAGAUGACGACCACUUCUUGGUGCCACAACGUUCCAAAU